RNAcentral lists this transfer RNA (87 nucleotides) under Phycisphaerae bacterium RAS1. It matches the Rfam family "tRNA". From Rfam's summary of the family: Transfer RNA (tRNA) molecules are approximately 80 nucleotides in length. Their secondary structure includes four short double-helical elements and three loops (D, anti-codon, and T loops). Lineage: Bacteria; Pseudomonadati; Planctomycetota; Phycisphaerae. The record is from Rfam by way of RNAcentral.
GGAGAGGUGUCCGAGUGGCCUAAGGAGCCGGUCUUGAAAACCGGUUUGCUCGCAAGGGCAACGUGGGUUCGAAUCCCACCCUCUCCG